GCGUGGGUGGCGAAAUUGGCAGACGCGCUAGAUUCAGGUUCUAGUGAACAAUACGUUCAUGUGGGUUCAAGUCCCGUCCCGCGCACCA
This 88-nucleotide transfer RNA is filed under the name Candidatus Limadaptatus stercorigallinarum. RNAcentral's name for it is "tRNA-Leu". It matches the Rfam family "tRNA". Rfam says of the family: Transfer RNA (tRNA) molecules are approximately 80 nucleotides in length. Their secondary structure includes four short double-helical elements and three loops (D, anti-codon, and T loops). The record is from RNAcentral. Lineage: Bacteria; Bacillati; Bacillota; Clostridia; Eubacteriales. RNAcentral also lists the same sequence under 2 other names.